UCAGGAUAUUUUUAUUUACUUUGUUAAAUAUUUUCAAAUUGCAUUUUAAUCUGGAUCUUGUAGCACCGAGUGUUUAACACCUCUGGACCAGGGGACACAGAUAAGUUCAAGAAGACAUAAAUAACACAAGAGGAAAAAGUAGCAAUAGAAGAUUUUCCCCAGGAACCUGAGGAAUAUUCUUACACGAGCACAGAGAUGUCCUCAAUGAGAAAAUGGAAACACUUAGUAAUUACAGGUUGAGGCAGAAACUCAGGAAAUCUUUGCCCAAAGUAUCUGUAGGGAAGAAUGACCACCACUCCUGCUGCCACUGACCUGAUAAGGCCUUCCAGUAAUCUCAUCAAACACUACAUGUGUGGGGCUCGCUCCCAGCUAGGUAUUGUGACUCUGCUUUUCCGUCCUGAGCGAUGGAUGUGCCAUGUGCCUGCUUUGUCUCUCUGUAGGGCUAUCCUGAGAGGGCAGCAUUACUGUUUUCCUGGUGAUAUUAGAUGUCUAUUAAUCAUGGAACUUCAUGGUCUCAGAUGAACCAAAAUAUCAGAAGAACUAAAGGAUGAAUGAUAGCUGGGGCAUAUUACCAAUGUGGCUAUGAAAAAAAGACCGUAAGAAAAGUUAUUGAGGACAUACAUGUCCAGAGAAGGAAGGGCAAGGUAUAAUAGGUGUCCAGUUUAAAAGCAAAAUUAGUAUCCAUGAAAUAUUAAAGCAUUAGAGAAAGAUUGUACUUGUUAGAUCAACCUGGGGGGAUUUUAAAAUGGAGAAUACCACGAAUCACAUAAGGGGACAGAAGAAUACAGACUAUUCAUAGCAAUGAGAUCACAUAUCCAGCUAAGUAUCUAAAUUUAAUUAAUCUGAACAAGCU
Molecule: long non-coding RNA, 853 nt
Filed under: Monodelphis domestica (gray short-tailed opossum)
Lineage: Eukaryota; Metazoa; Chordata; Mammalia; Didelphimorphia; Didelphidae
Description: lncRNA (ENSMODG00000029961.2)
Source: RNAcentral